This 684-nucleotide ribosomal RNA is filed under the name uncultured bacterium. RNAcentral describes it as "bacterial SSU rRNA". It matches the Rfam family "Bacterial small subunit ribosomal RNA", at positions 8 to 737 of the family's 1533-position model. The record is from RNAcentral.
AGAGUUUGAUCCUGGCUCAGAACGAACGCUGGCGGCAUGCCUAACACAUGCAAGUCGAACGAGACCUUCGGGUCUAGUGGCGCACGGGUGCGUAACACGUGGGAAUCUGCCCUUCGGUUCGGAAUAACAGUUAGAAAUGACUGCUAAUACCGGAUAACGACGUAAGUCCAAAGAUUUAUCGCCGAAGGAUGAGCCCGCGUAGGAUUAGGUAGUUGGUGGGGUAAUGGCUCACCAAGCCGACGAUCCUUAGCUGGUCUGAGAGGAUGAUCAGCCACACUGGGACUGAGACACGGCCCAGACUCCUACGGGAGGCAGCAGUGGGGAAUAUUGGACAAUGGGCGAAAGCCUGAUCCAGCAAUGCCGCGUGAGUGAUGAAGGCCUUAGGGUUGUAAAGCUCUUUUACCAGGGAUGAUAAUGACAGUACCUGGAGAAUAAGCUCCGGCUAACUCCGUGCCAGCAGCCGCGGUAAUACGGAGGGAGCUAGCGUUGUUCGGAAUUACUGGGCGUAAAGCGCACGUAGGCGGCUAUUCAAGUCGGGGGUGAAAGCCCGGGGCUCAACCCCGGAACUGCCCUCNAAACUAGAUAGCCUAGAAUCUUGGAGAGGCGAGUGGAAUUCCGAGUGUAGAGGUGAAAUUCGUAGAUAUUCGGAAGAACCCAGNGGGCGAAGGCGACUCGCUGGACAGU